AGCCUUCUGUAUCCGUGCUGAGAUUUCGUCACACACCAGACCACAAGGGCUGAUGAGACUUNCUUCAAUGUUCCAUUCA
Molecule: microRNA precursor, 79 nt
Filed under: Schistosoma margrebowiei
Lineage: Eukaryota; Metazoa; Platyhelminthes; Trematoda; Strigeidida; Schistosomatidae
Description: mir-3492 microRNA precursor family
Rfam family: mir-3492 microRNA precursor family
Source: Rfam by way of RNAcentral